GCUUAUUUCGCGCAGCUUAGGUGGGAGACGUUGAACCUUUUCUUCCGGGAAAGGGGGAGUCAUCAGUGAGAUACCACUCUUGGUAAGCUAGAGCGCUCAUUUUUAACCGUUAUCCGGUAAAAAGACAGUUUCAGGCGGGCAGUUUGACUGGGGCAGUCACCUCCCAAAAGGUAAUGGAGGUGUACAAAGGUUCUCUCAGGCUGGACGGAAAUCAGCCAUAGAGUGUAAAAGCAUAAGAGAGCUUGACUGCGAGACGGACAUGUCAAGCAGAGACGAAAGUCGGUUUUAGUGAUCCGACGGUGCUGAGUGGAAAGGCCGUCGCUCAACGGAUAAAAGUUACUCUAGGGAUAAC
This 352-nucleotide ribosomal RNA is filed under the name uncultured eukaryote. Its description in RNAcentral is "LSU rRNA". It matches the Rfam family "Bacterial large subunit ribosomal RNA", at positions 2127 to 2478 of the family's 2925-position model. The record is from RNAcentral.